RNAcentral lists this ribosomal RNA (911 nucleotides) under Agaricus sp. RNAcentral describes it as "LSU rRNA". It matches the Rfam family "Eukaryotic large subunit ribosomal RNA", at positions 66 to 964 of the family's 3401-position model. The record is from RNAcentral. Lineage: Eukaryota; Fungi; Basidiomycota; Agaricomycetes; Agaricales; Agaricaceae.
UAACAGGAUUCCCCUAGUAACUGCGAGUGAAGCGGGAAAAGCUCAAAUUUAAAAUCUGGCGGUCUUUGGCCGUCCGAGUUGUAAUCUAGAGAAGUAAUGCCCGUGCUGGACCGUGUAUAAGUCUCCUGGGAUGGGGCGUCAUAGAGGGUGAGAAUCCCGUCUUUGACACGGACUACCAGUGCAUUGUGGUAUGCUCUCAAAGAGUCGAGUUGUUUGGGAAUGCAGCUCAAAAUGGGUGGUAAAUUCCAUCUAAAGCUAAAUAUUGGCGAGAGACCGAUAGCGAACAAGUACCGUGAGGGAAAGAUGAAAAGAACUUUGGAAAGAGAGUUAAACAGUACGUGAAAUUGCUGAAAGGGAAACGCUUGAAGUCAGUCGCGUUGGCCAGGGAUCAGCCUUGCUUUUGCAUGGUGUACUUUCUGGUUGACGGGUCAGCAUCAAUUUUGACCGCUGGAAAAGGGCCUGGGGAAUGUGGCAGCUUCGGCUGUGUUAUAGCCCCUGGUCGCAUACAGUGGUUGGGAUUGAGGAACUCAGCACGCCGCAAGGCCGGGUUUCGACCACGUUCGUGCUUAGGAUGCUGGCAUAAUGGCUUUAAGCGGCCCGUCUUGAAACACGGACCAAGGAGUCUAACAUGCCUGCGAGUAUUUGGGUGGAAAACCCGAGUGCGCAAUGAAAGUGAAAGUUGAGAUCCCUGUCGUGGGGAGCAUCGACGCCCGGACCAGAACUUUUGGGACGGAUCCGCGGUGGAGCAUGUAUGUUGGGACCCGAAAGAUGGUGAACUAUGCCUGAAUAGGGUGAAGCCAGAGGAAACUCUGGUGGAGGCUCGUAGCGAUUCUGACGUGCAAAUCGAUCGUCAAAUUUGGGUAUAGGGGCGAAAGACUAAUCGAACCAUCUAGUAGCUGGGUUCCUGCCGA